Molecule: long non-coding RNA, 5436 nt
Organism: Carya illinoinensis
Lineage: Eukaryota; Viridiplantae; Streptophyta; Magnoliopsida; Fagales; Juglandaceae
Exons: 4
Source: RefSeq, a predicted model, not a curated record
CUGGUUAGCCACCUUGCCACUCCUCUCACCGAGACAAGAUAAGCCCUGUUUUCAAACACCCAAAGCAGAGCUUUUUUUUUUCUUCUGCCUACCAUCAUUACAUCGCAAAGCCCUUCCGCCACUUCCAGUCGCGCCGCCGUUGAGUUGUGUUAUGAUCCAGGAAAUUAGUGAAAAAUUUUGAAAAACCUAGUUUCUGGCAAUUCGAGUUUGCCAAGGCCUCCUUUAGUCAAUUUGUAAAAUAAUUCGUCUGAUGUUUCAUUCAUUCUCCAUGCAAACAUUUAUAUAGACUAAAGAUAUUAACUGCAAUGAAAAUACAGGCCCACUAACAAACACAACAACUGACUGACCCAUGUUAAAUACUCACUAACCCACGACUUGCUAACCGAUGGCCCACUACCAGGCAACUGACCCACGAAAUUAACACACACUCAAACAUAAUAAUUGAAUUCAAAUGACACCGUUUUACAACUAAAAUAACUUAAAGACCAACACAAUGGGUUUCUUGGGUAAGAACCCUAAAUCAUAACAUCACCCCCUCCUUCGAAAGCCUUGUCCCCAAGGCUAGGGUAUCGCCUUUUCAGUUACUCCAAAUCCUCCCACGUUGCGUCCUCAUCUCCAGUAUCAGCCCACUGCUCCAGAACCUCCAUCGUUGCUCUAUUUCCCUUCUUCUUCAAUCUUUGUUGCAAGAUUCGUUGUGGUUUUGAAGCUAAAGCCCCUUCGAAUUUCACACGUGGUAGCUCGACACAAGCUUGAAUACCGUUUCCAAGCUUCUUCUUGAGACAAGAAGCGUGGAAAAUAGGAUAAAUCCUUGCUUCUUGCAGAAGAUCAAGCUCAUAGGCUACUUUCCUGAUUCGGCACAAAACCCUAAAGGGGCCGUAAUAUCUUGGGGCGAUCUUGAGAUUUCUUCGCAAGGCUACACUCAUCUGUCGAUAUGGAUGCAAUCUCUAGUUCUCCUUUAUGAGGGUUGAAAUAAACUCUCAGGUUCUGAGUUCAUUUUCCACUACUUGAACAAUAGAGGACUCGUGCUCAAAGGGCAACAAUCGAGGCGGGCUCUGUCCAUACACGGCUUCAAAAGGAGAUACCUUUGUGGAAGUGUGUACCGAGGUAUUAUAGGAAUACUCGGCUAAAGGUAUGGGUAAUGGUUAGAGCAACCCCGCUAGGUGGAGGGCUUCAACCUUGCUUCUUUGGCACACGUCACACUCCCUGACAUGUCUCCUUGCAUCAAUUUUCAGACCAGGCUAGUAGAAUUCCUUUUUAAUUCUUACUUGUGUCUUGUGAACUCCCAUGUGAUCCCCUAAUGGGUUACUAUGGAGCUGGUGCAGGAUUUGUUGCUAAAAGGCCACCAAAGAUCCAAGAUGCAGUCUCCUUUUUGUUAAAAAGGAGAUUACCUCACAUUUGGUAAAUUGAUGGGUUCAGGUCUCCAUGAUGGUUGUGACUAAUGAGCUGCUGCAACAUAGGGUCCUGUGGGUAAGUUCUCUUUAAUUCUUCUACCCAUUGAGCUUGCACCACACUGAUUGCUUGGUUUUGUAUGGGUUGAUUAAUGGAGAUUGGGAUAUUAGUUUUGGUUUAUGGUUGGUCAUGGGGGCUAUUUGGUUUGGUGGUUUGGAUCAUGUUUGUGGGUUUGGUUUGGUUAUGAUGGCUGUCUGGGCUUGGGUUUUUUGUGUAUGGGAUUCUUGAAAGGGCAUUAACCGCUGCAUUGCCUUUUCCACUUCUAUACUCCACUGAAAAAUCAUAUCCCAACAACUUCGAGAUCCAUUUCUAUUGUGAAGGGGUGCUCUCUCUUUGUUCCAGCAAGUAUUUGAGUGCCUACUAGUCAGUGCGUACUUUGAAGGACUAUCCAGUAGGUAGUGCCUCCAUUUCCUCACUGCCAUCACCACUACCAAUAGCUCCUUCUCAUAAGUUGAGAGAUCUAAAUUUCUUCCCUUUAAAGCCUAGCUGAAAUAUGCAAUUGGCUAACCUUCCUGCAUUAAUACCACUCCCAAAGCUCCUCCUGAAGCAUCACAUUCCACAACAAAAACUUUAGAAAAGUUAGGUAAUUUUAACACUGGAGGUUUUACCAUAGCUUCUUUGAGUCUUCCAAAUGCUUCUUAUGCUUUCUCAUUCCAAGAAAAAGAAUUCUUCUUUAGAAGAGCUAUCAGUGGAGAUGCUAUGGCUCCAUACCCUUAAACAAACUUCUUGUAGUAGCAGGUAAGUCCUAAAAAACCUCUUAGUGCUUUAAGGUUCUUAGGAGUUGGCCACUCUUGCAUUGCAACCAGCUUCUAAGGAUCCGCUUUAAAUCCUUCCCUUGAGAUAAUAUGCCCUAAGUAUUCCACCUCCUAGCUGCCAAAGACACACUUGGACAGCUUGGCAUAAAACUGUUCAGCUUGUAGUAACUCUAAGAUUUUGGUCAAAUGUUGUACAGGCUCUUGCAUGGACUUAUUGUAAAUUAAAAUGUCAUCGAAAAAUACCAACACAAACUUCCACAAAUAAGGCCUAAGCACUUCAUUCAUCACCUCUUGAAAAGUAGAGGGUGCAUUAGUAAGUCCAAACGGCAUUACAAGGAAUUCAUAAUGACCCUCAUGUGUACGAAAGGCAGUCUUAGGGAUAUCAUCAAGAUUCAUCUUUAUUUGAUGAUAUCCCGAUGUUAAAUCCAAUUUAGAAAAUAUUUCAGCCCCUCCUAAUUCAUCAAGCAACUCAUCAAUGUUAGGGAUGGGAUUCUUAUCUUUAAUGGUAUUCUUAUUGAGUGCACGGUAAUCCACACACAUCCUCCAGCUUCCAUCAGCCUUCCUUAUUAGCAACACAAGAGAAGAAUAUGGACUUUGACUACUUCUAAUACUCCAUUUCUUCGACAACUCAGCUGCAAUCUUUCUAUCUCUUCCUUUUGAUAAUAGGGAUACAUGUAAGGCCUAACAUAAACAGGUUUAGUAUCUUCCAAUAUCUUGAUUUUAUGAUCAAGAUUUCUUGGAGGUGGCAGUCCAUUUGGCUCGGCAAAGACCCCUCCAAACUUGUCCAGAACCUAUUGCACCUCUAUUGAACAUCUUGCAUUAUUAUUACCACUGUUUCCAUCCAUGAAUUGCAACCAAGUGCCCUUAAUAGCACCCUCUUUAAUUUUUGCACUGGCAUCUUCUUCCACAAUUCUAUUUGCUGGUCUUUUAAUACCCUGCAGUUGCACAACUUGAUCUCCACACUGAAACUUCAUAGUUAAGUUAGAAAAGUUCCACAAAAUUGGUCCUAAUCCACCCCCAAAACUACAUCACAUCCUCCAAGUGUCAACACAUAAAUUAGCUUUAAAUUGAUGAUCCUGUAACUUAAAAGAGAUUGCCUUACAGUGACCAAGGCAAGGAAUAGUGGUACCAUUUGCCACUUGAUCUGUUAAAUGGCUUGCUUCCCUUGACAGGUUGGCUUUCCUUGCUAUUUAUGGAUCUAUAAAACUAUGAGUGCUUUCUGUAUCAAUCAAGAUUAAAACUUUUUGGUGAUUAAUUUCAGCAAACAAUCUCAUAGUUUUAGGCGCUAAAGAUCCGGCUAUAGUGUGUAAAGAUAUCUUUAAUAAUUCUCCCACUUCCUCUUCAUUAGUCUCAAUAACAGCAAGAGUCCCUUCCUCAUUUUCCGCUUCAUCAUCAUCUUCACCCUCUCCUACCAUACCUUCCAAUAAAUAAAUUUUGGGUUUGCUACACUUAUGUCCUGUGUGAUAUUUUUCAUCGCAAAACCAACAUAAAUCUCUCUUUUUUCUUUCUUGCAUUUGAGUGGGAGUAACUCUUCUUAUGGGAAAGCUAUUUUUUCUGGGAUUAUUAAGGGGUUGAAGUCUCGGGUUGGCUUUAAUUGCUGGAGCUGGUAGUCUCAAUAAAGGGGCUAGGUUGGUGGGUUGAUAGUUAGAAGUCUGGUUGAGUUCCCCCUAGUAUGCCUAGUAACCUCCUCCUCCUGUAAUCUAGCGAAUCCAAAAGCUGCAGACAAUGCUAAGGAUUUGAACAUGGACACAGUGAUUCUAAGAUCGUCUCUCAGUCCACUAAGAAAGGUACUAAUUCUAAACUCCUCGGAUAAGCCAUUUUUUUAUUAGAUAGCAUUUCAAAUUGUGUUUGAUAUGCCUCUACUGUGCCAGUUUGUCUAAGCUUAGUAAACUCCCCCACCGAGUCCUCUUAAGCUGAAGGACCGAAUCUCACCUCUAGGGCUAAAAUAAAAUCAUCCCAAGAAUUUACUGGGCUUGACUCCUUUAACCAACUAUACCAUGAAAGGGCCUUGCACUCCAUGUGAAAAAAGGCUAUUUGUAACCUUUGAUCAUCAAGGAUCUUAUAAUAUUCAAAAAACUGUUGUGCCUUUGGAACCCAUUCAUCAGGAUUCGUGCCAUCAAACUUAGGAAAAUCCAACCUAAGUGAUCUAGCCUGAAUUCCCCCAUUACCCUCAAACAAUGGAUUAUUUCUAACCUUAGAAUUUGAGGAUCCUUCUCCCUAAUUUUGAUUUGCUGUCAAGUGUUCAUAACUAGAAGCUAAAUUGCUUAUCUGUUGGAGUACAGCUGCUAACAUCUCCUUUUGUCUUGUUUGUUCUUCCCGCAGGCUGCUAUUCUCCCCUUUUAGUGCUGCAGUUGCUUCGGACAGUUGGGCUUGUCUCGUGCCUUCCACCAUAGUCACAAGAACGUGGCUUUGAGACCACUGUUAUGAUCUAGGAAAUUAGUGAACAAAAUUGUAAACUCAGUUUCUGACAAUUCAAGGUUGCCAAGGCCUCCUUUAGUGAAUUUGUAAAAUAAUUCGUCUGAUGCUUCGUUCAUUCUCCAUGAAAACAUUUAUACAGACUCAAGAUAAUAACUGCAACGGAAAUACAGGCCCACUAACAAACACAACAACUCACUAACCCAUGACUUGCUAACCGAUGACCCACUACCAGGCAACCCACAAAAUUAACACACACCCAAACAUAAUAAUUGAAUUCAAACAACACAGUUUUACAACUAAAAUAACUUAAAGACCAACGCAACGAGUUUCUUGGGUAAGAACCCUAAAUCAUAACAAGCUGCACCAUGUGUAGCCUCUUGGUAACUCCACCAUCGCACGGUUUUGGGUCUCUCUCCAUCUCUUACCCUCAAAUUUAUCUCUCUCUCUCUCUCUCUCCCCACAAGCUCUGCCCAUGUGCUCCAUCGAGCGCAACACUCUCAGCCAAUUUCCACUGCAUCUCUCUACUCCAUGGCCAGCUUCAACUUUGACUAAAUGCUUAGCCACAUGGAGCCUCUGGUUCUGGUUCUUCCCUGGAUUAUUUGAAUGUUUCAACUGAGAACCAAGAUUAGAGAGCAUGGGCGAGAUUAUUUAAGUAUAACAGAUUAAGCAUUAAGGAAUGUCAUUGUUAUUAGAGAAUAUUUUUUUUCAGUAAAGUUAUUGUGGCCUAUGACAUGAUAUGUUGAGAGGUUAAAUUUUUUUAUUAGGACUUCAUGAUAUGUUUAGUUAAUUAUUUUAGAAAAAUUUAUUUAAAUCA